AUGAAUUGGUGCAAGUUUAUUGCCGACUUCCUCCACGAUGCAUUCUCAAGCAAGAUGUACCAAAAGGGUUGUCGACUGCAUUUAAUGCUCAUGUAUGUCGACUGUCUUGAUCUGUCCACUGUGGAUUUCACCGGGGUAGGAGGCCCACCGCCUACGCACAAGUUUGUUGUUUCUGCAUGGACUAUCAACGCUGUCAAGGUUGUGCUUGCCGCAGACAGGGCAACUGAUACCAAAUAUGGAAAACUGCAGUUGAUGGCCAAGCAUGCUAUAGACUACAGCGUGUUUGGGGGGCCUCAAAACUUUGGAAAGUGGAUGGACGUGCACUCAGCUCCGUCUUGCCCUACUAAGGCGAGGGCACCUGUUGAGCAUCUAAUUGGGCAGUUUGCAUCUGGAAUGACUGGCUUGCUCGGGAAGUUUGUUGAGGGGUGGACGUAUCUCAGUGGCUCUGACAGUGAUGCGGUUGCGAGGCAGUUCACUUCAUUUGUCCCAGAACGUACACAUCGGCCAACCGGUUGCCGUGGCCGGUAUGACUACAACAGUUCCCAAGAGCCCGGUGAACACAAGAUGAUCUAG
This 573-nucleotide ribosomal RNA is filed under the name Triticum aestivum (bread wheat). RNAcentral describes it as "partial small subunit ribosomal RNA". Lineage: Eukaryota; Viridiplantae; Streptophyta; Magnoliopsida; Poales; Poaceae. The record is from RNAcentral.